RNAcentral lists this ribosomal RNA (257 nucleotides) under Mesorhizobium sp. RNAcentral's name for it is "partial 23S ribosomal RNA". It matches the Rfam family "Bacterial large subunit ribosomal RNA", at positions 1422 to 1682 of the family's 2925-position model. Lineage: Bacteria; Pseudomonadati; Pseudomonadota; Alphaproteobacteria; Hyphomicrobiales; Phyllobacteriaceae. The record is from RNAcentral.
ACAGGUUAAUAUUCCUGUACUUGGUGUUACUGCGAAGGGGGGACGGAGAAGGCUAUGUUAGCCGGGCGACGGUUGUCCCGGUUUAAGCAUGUAGGCGGAGGUUCCAGGUAAAUCCGGUACCUUUUAACGCUGAGGUGUGAUGACGAGGCACUACGGUGCUGAAGUAACAAAUGCCCUGCUUCCAGGAAAAGCCUCUAAGCAUCAGGUAACAUUAAAUCGUACCCCAAACCGACACAGGUGGUCAGGUAGAGAAUACC